Gadus morhua (Atlantic cod) is the source of this 771-nucleotide long non-coding RNA. RefSeq lists it as uncharacterized. The transcript has 4 exons. Lineage: Eukaryota; Metazoa; Chordata; Actinopteri; Gadiformes; Gadidae. The record is from RefSeq and is a predicted model, not a curated record.
UUUGGCACUCGGAGUGCCUUAUACUGGCUUGCAAGGAAAGCAACACACACCUCUAUUACAAUGUACACAUUUUUUGUGUCUCUAUAUAGGAAUCCAGCUGUCAAAAUUUUGGCUAAGGCAAACAGAAAGACGAACAAGGAAGAUGAUUGCCCGUUUCACAGGCUAGAAAUCUACCCUGUCAAAUGUGUAGUGAAGACACGUGAAAGAAAGGGCUGCAAAGAGGUACUUGUCCAUUGGCUCCCAUGCCCCUCAUGCCAAAAGACCUGGCCCCCAUCUUGGGAACCCCAAGAUAAUGUAACCAUGGCCCUGUCAUAAGGACACAGUCAUUUAUUGAACAAGUUAAAAAUAUAAUAAUAGGUAAGUGGUUUUAUGUAUAAUUCGUAUAGCUUUUUUUUGCCGGAUGAAUGUGGAUGUGUUUUUGUUAGGGCCCGACCGAUUAUCGGCCGCACCGAUAUAUCGGGCCGAUAUAUCGGGCCGAUAUUUAACAUUUUGGGGAUAUCGGUAUCGGCCAUACUUUCCAUAAAUUCCCACCGAUAAGUUCAUAUAAUUUUCACAACCAAUUUUGCAGCCGUUUCGUUCUGAACGCGCCUUCCGCUCUUGCCACUUGGAAUUCAUGAGCCUUGCCAAGUUGCCCCGCCCGUCACAGCAUCUGAUUUGUUUGGCACACGGAAUACAACCAAUCAACACGCAAGGCUGCAAGCGGGGCGGGGUGCCUUCACGCUCCCUGUGACUCGUGAGCGGUUUCUAGACGGCCAAGUGGGGCUAAGGACG